CGGAGACAGUUCUGACUGCACAGGUAUACAUGGAUACGACUGUACGUGAACAGAGCUGGACAUAAGUUCAGCCAUCUGCAACAGAUUGGACUCUGAAGGGACUUUGAUUUCAUGGUGUAACACGUGGACAGCAAAGAAGAAACUAUAUUGUCCAAAAAGACCUAUAAACAAUCCACUUCCCGGAAGAAACAGGGCAGAAAACACCAGAUCAGAGUUAAGGUUAUUGAGGGAAUGAUACAUUUCCAGACUUCCAAUCUGUUUUUAAUCUUGAAUCUGAGCUGAGAAUUUUUUGCCUUUCGAGCGGCUAUGAAGAAAAAACAAUCAAGUGUAUUUGUAUUACGGUAACUUCAUCAGGUCCUACUCAGGACUGCAGCCCCCUUGCGCUAGGACACACGGGACAGUUCGGUAACUGACGUAGAGAUACAACCUCAGCUCAAACUUUGCGGCGCUUGUGCGUGGCGCUGGCCUUUAACUGCGCUCCUGUUUGUAACGUACCGCGGAAUCAUUUUAAUGCAAACCAGAGCAGGACACGUCCCAGUCACCCCCGUGUAUCCUGUUAACCCACAACUGAGAGUAAACAAAAGGAGGGAAUGAAACCAACAGCUGGAGCUGGUGACUUCUUGGAAAGGAAAGGGCUCAUCUUCAGUCUCUUUGCUUUCAAAUCAACAGAGCCAUUCGGCAGAUUUCACUCCGCAAGGAAAGAGAAGGCAGCGAGAAGGCCAAACAUCCCCCGCCUGGUCCCCAGCGUGCUGGCAUUGCACGGAGACGGAGUGUGUGGCCUCGUACACAACUCUACAGUGCUGGACAACAAUGAGACUCGUGCCUCUGCCGUACAGAGGCAAGGAGCCCCCUGAGGCAGGAUGGCCCAGUGGGUAGGGUGCUAGCCAAGGACUCUGGAGAGCUUGGAACACCGAAGCCACGAGAUCGUCACUCUUCACAGUCCCGGUUCCUGAAAGCCGCGCCAAGCAGCUGGGGCCGAGGCCCCGCUGAAUGGGGACGCGCUGCUCGGAGGAGACAACUCCCAAGGUUUCGGCAGAGCAGGCAACGCCCUCAUCCAGGCAGGAAUUGGCACCAGCAUGGGCGACCCAGCUGCAUUCCUCCCAGGCUGGCAAAGGCAGCAGGGUGUGUCCUCCACCUCAUCCUCUUCGUCCGCCCGCUCCCGCCCCCCCGGCUAAACAUCCUGGCUCGUUGCUGGGAUAUCGCUAUAAACAAAACAGGGCGGGGCCCUCUCUCUCCGCUGGGCCCAUCCAGAUGCCCCAAAGCACCACCCAUGGAGCGGCCGCAAUGCACACACAUGCCAGUACUUUGCUACCCGGCGGGGAACGCUUGCCUCCCUGGAAGCAGUGAGCUGGUCCUUGCACGUCUCGCUGUAACAGGGAAAAGGAAUGGAGACACGGCCCCGAGAAGAAGUGCAAAGUUCCCUCCAGGAGUUCCAGCAAGUCAUGUCCUUGGAGUCAGGGCUGUGCUGGCAGGACAAAUACAGCCUGGCCUAUCUGUCACCCUUAGGGGCACAGUAAUGUGGGAGACCAGCCUUCAUGCUUCAGGGCAUGAGCUGAUGGCUGGCUGGGGUCAGGAAGGAAGUCCCUCUGCCCGGUGUAGAGUGUAGCACAGAGGUUAUCCUGUAGCAGUGUCCAAGGCAGGAUACUGGGCGCGAUGGAGUAUCUCAGGAUCUCAUGGAACAUGCCUUGGGGAGGGCAUGGUAGAGGGUCCCUUGAUCUCUGCUGGCAAGGCAGGAGCGGGUCCUCCUAGUGAAUAUUACAUCACUGAAGUGCCCGGAGGCCCUGAUGAAGGUCAGGGCCCUGCUGGGCUAAGCACUGGAGGUGCACAGUCCCUGCCCCCAGGAGCUUACAAUCGCUAGCGGCCCAAGAGUGGG
Molecule: long non-coding RNA, 1873 nt
Organism: Mauremys reevesii (Reeves's turtle)
Lineage: Eukaryota; Metazoa; Chordata; Testudines; Geoemydidae
Exons: 3
Source: RefSeq, a predicted model, not a curated record